GCGUGAAUGAUGAAGGCCUUAGGGUUGUAAAGUUCUUUCGCCGAUGAAGAUAAUGACGGUAGUCGGAGAAGAAGCCCCGGCUAACUUCGUGCCAGCAGCCGCGGUAAUACGAAGGGGGCUAGCGUUGUUCGGAAUUACUGGGCGUAAAGCGAGCGUAGGUUGCGCCGCAAGUCAGGGGUGAAAUCCCAGAGCUUAACUCUGGAACUGCCUUUGAAACUGCGGUGCUGGAAUCUCAGAGGGGGUAGCGGAAUUCCAAAUGUAGGGGUGAAAUCCGU
This 275-nucleotide ribosomal RNA is filed under the name uncultured bacterium. Its description in RNAcentral is "partial 16S ribosomal RNA". It matches the Rfam family "Bacterial small subunit ribosomal RNA", at positions 399 to 691 of the family's 1533-position model. The record is from RNAcentral.